Molecule: ribosomal RNA, 926 nt
Filed under: Bacillus subtilis
Lineage: Bacteria; Bacillati; Bacillota; Bacilli; Caryophanales; Bacillaceae
Description: bacterial SSU rRNA
Rfam family: Bacterial small subunit ribosomal RNA
Source: RNAcentral
GCUAUACAUGCAGUCGAGCGGACAGAUGGGAGCUUGCUCCCUGAUGUUAGCGGCGGACGGGUGAGUAACACGUGGGUAACCUGCCUGUAAGACUGGGAUAACUCCGGGAAACCGGGGCUAAUACCGGAUGGUUGUUUGAACCGCAUGGUUCAAACAUAAAAGGUGGCUUCGGCUACCACUUACAGAUGGACCCGCGGCGCAUUAGCUAGUUGGUGAGGUAACGGCUCACCAAGGCAACGAUGCGUAGCCGACCUGAGAGGGUGAUCGGCCACACUGGGACUGAGACACGGCCCAGACUCCUACGGGAGGCAGCAGUAGGGAAUCUUCCGCAAUGGACGAAAGUCUGACGGAGCAACGCCGCGUGAGUGAUGAAGGUUUUCGGAUCGUAAAGCUCUGUUGUUAGGGAAGAACAAGUACCGUUCGAAUAGGGCGGUACCUUGACGGUACCUAACCAGAAAGCCACGGCUAACUACGUGCCAGCAGCCGCGGUAAUACGUAGGUGGCAAGCGUUGUCCGGAAUUAUUGGGCGUAAAGGGCUCGCAGGCGGUUUCUUAAGUCUGAUGUGAAAGCCCCCGGCUCAACCGGGGAGGGUCAUUGGAAACUGGGGAACUUGAGUGCAGAAGAGGAGAGUGGAAUUCCACGUGUAGCGGUGAAAUGCGUAGAGAUGUGGAGGAACACCAGUGGCGAAGGCGACUCUCUGGUCUGUAACUGACGCUGAGGAGCGAAAGCGUGGGGAGCGAACAGGAUUAGAUACCCUGGUAGUCCACGCCGUAAACGAUGAGUGCUAAGUGUUAGGGGGGUUUCCGCCCCUUAGUGCUGCAGCUAACGCAUUAAGCACUCCGCCUGGGGAGUACGGUCGCAAGACUGAAACUCAAAGGAAAUUGACGGGGGCCCGCCACAGCGGUGGAGCAUGUGGUUUAAUUCGA